This 102-nucleotide transfer RNA is filed under the name Gymnopus androsaceus JB14. It matches the Rfam family "tRNA". From Rfam's summary of the family: Transfer RNA (tRNA) molecules are approximately 80 nucleotides in length. The record is from Rfam by way of RNAcentral. Lineage: Eukaryota; Fungi; Basidiomycota; Agaricomycetes; Agaricales; Omphalotaceae.
GGCGCUAUAGCCAAGUGGUUACGGCGACAGAUUAGAAUUUGAUUGUCUGAUUGUCUGAUCUGUUCCUCUUUGAGGGCGCAGGUUCAAAUCCUGCUGGCGUCG